UGGGAGAUUUGUUAGAUUUUUUUUCCAUUUUCAUAGUCAUGGAUCAUACAACUUAAAGAAAUGCAGGUAAAAUUGACUUACUGUAUCUUUUGCCUAAUUAUAAAUCCCACAGUCAGACCGUUUAUUAACCAUACUAAUGCUAGAAAUGCAAUUCAAAAUCUGAUUCUAUAAACACAAAGGCUAGUCUUCAAACUGGAAAGCAUGAUUUCAUCCUACUCGAUAUAAUUAAAGAACUCUCAAUGUCCUUUUGAUGGGAUGGCAAAUGACAGGCUUUGGCGACUUCCUUUCCAUUAUGGCUGUCACAUGAUGUAUGGGAUGCACCAAGUGAUUCCGUUUCCCAGAACUUCACUGUAGUAAUGAUGGCCCACGUCAGCCGUGUCCCCUUAACAUAUGAAAGGACGUAAGAUUAUCCGUUUGGAGCUGGAAACUAAAAAAGACCAUUUGGAUGAUGUUGCAGUGAGCAUCUCAUUUGAGUCUGGAAUUUAACUCUACCACGUAGGUGUGCAAUUACACACUUUGGAACAGCAAACGCACUUUUACACAUCGGGCAUGGAAAUCCUGUUGGUUCUGUUUUGCCCAGUUUUCCAUGAUUAUUUCCUCAGACUAUAACACUAUGAAGGCUCUGCUUAAGUUUUUAUGAAAACUUUAUGGACCCUUAUUCUGCAGCAAAGACCACCAUGCUUUAGCAACGAAGACCUAUUGAACUUAAAAAUAAUGAAAAGAGUCAAGACAUGAAACAGAAGAUAGACUUUCUCCCUAAAUUGUACCAGUUAUUGGAAUCCUCUUUUAAGGAUGGAAUUGUCAUUGGUUCAUAGGUGUCUAGAUUUAGAAACUUCCAGAAAUAUUCUUUUUUCUCUCCUACCAAGUUGGAAAUUCCAUCACAGCCGUUUUAUCGCAAUGCUCAACGAUGCCAGGGUUUUCAUGUUCCUUUCCUCAUGCCCGACACUAUUUGUUACAUUAUUCAUUUCUCAAUUGCUUCAUUCCUUAUUAUUUAUAUCAUGUUACCUCAAGCACUUUGUGAAAAGAGUCUUGGUGUACAGUUUUUAAAUAUGAAUGUUGAUCAAACAUCAUUAAAAGGUUCUUCUAGCCCUCCUUGUUAGAGAAGUAAUGCUCCAUCAGAGUUCAACACUCCAAGUUAUACAUACUCAAAUAGUCCAAAUGCCAAUUAAAACAUCUUCAGGAUAACAGAAUAGAAUUGGAGAAGUUAACACUUCUAGUUCUAAGAUUUCCCUUACAAAUUGAAAUAGAAAAAAAU
Molecule: long non-coding RNA, 1255 nt
Filed under: Marmota monax (woodchuck)
Lineage: Eukaryota; Metazoa; Chordata; Mammalia; Rodentia; Sciuridae
Source: RNAcentral